UGGGGAAUAUUGCACAAUGGGCGCAAGCCUGAUGCAGCCAUGCCGCGUGUGUGAAGAAGGCCUUCGGGUUGUAAAGCACUUUCAGCGGGGAGGAAGGCGAUAAGGUUAAUAACCUUGUCGAUUGACGUUACCCGCAGAAGAAGCACCGGCUAACUCCGUGCCAGCAGCCGCGGUAAUACGGAGGGUGCAAGCGUUAAUCGGAAUUACUGGGCGUAAAGCGCACGCAGGCGGUCUGUCAAGUCGGAUAUGAAAUCCCCGGGCUUAACCUGGGAACUGCAUUCGAAACUGGCAGGCUAGAGUCUUGUAGAGGGGGGUAGAAUUCCAGGUGUAACGGUGAAAUGCGUAGAGAUCUGGAGGAAUACCGGUGGCGAAGGCGGCCCCCUGGACAAAGCCUGACGCUCAGGUGCGAAAGCGUGGGGAGCAAACAGG
RNAcentral lists this ribosomal RNA (429 nucleotides) under Chloroflexota bacterium. RNAcentral's name for it is "Chloroflexi bacterium partial 16S ribosomal RNA". It matches the Rfam family "Bacterial small subunit ribosomal RNA", at positions 355 to 776 of the family's 1533-position model. Lineage: Bacteria; Bacillati; Chloroflexota. The record is from RNAcentral.